UUCUCCCUUAACUGCUUCCAUUUCAUCUCCAUUGUCAUCUUCAUCGCCAUCCGCUUCACCAUCAUACACGCGCAACACCUCAGCACCAUCGUCUUCAAUUGUGCAUUUCCAUCAUCAUAAUUUUCGUUCAUCAUACUCACCCAUUACCUUCACUUUCUUCUUACUCACGGCCAACCAUCUUUUCUCCAUUGACACUAAAAAACAGAGACCAUACAAAUAACUUCAUCACAUUACAAAUAGCCCCUCGCGUUCCUUCUUCUCAACCUCAUCACUAACUUUUCUCCUUCAAACAUCAACCUUCACUUCACCCAGAUUCUAAAAAAAUGUAGAAAAAAAAAGAACAGGAAAAGCCAUGGUGGGUGCAUCCUCAAUAAAGAGAGACAAUAAAGUGCUCUUUGAUUCUUGAAUAUGGGCAACGUCAUUGAAUCGUUUGCUUCGGGCUUAGGACAGGCAUUUGGUAAACUAUUUAGUUCUCCAAUUGAAUUUCUUUCUGGAAAGUCUUGCAGGUAAGACCACGCAGGGUUAUAUUUCUUCACUUCCACUUCAUGCUUGAUAUAUUUGUCUCUGGAUAUGUUUCAGCUCAGUGUGUGGACCAACAUGGGAUUUCAUGUGCUAUAUCGAAAAUUUUUGCAUUUCCAAUAUCCUGAAAUUAGCCAUGUUCUGUUGUUCUUCUAUCUGGUGCAUAAAUUGGGCAUAUGUGGAUGUCUUUGCCGAUCUUCUUGCAAAAUGACAUGGGCAUGUUUCUCUUCGUGUUUCCAUCUUUGGGAGUAUUCUUGCACUUUCUUGUGUAUUAAGCUACACAAUAUCAGGAGAACAAGGAGAAUAAGAAGGGUCAGAGUGGACAUGAAAAAAAAAAUCUACUCGGGUGAAAUCCUUUCCCACCAUUUUCCAACAUGUACAAAAAUGAGCAGAUCAAUUUCGCGUAGUAGAGAUUAUAAAGCCUCCCACCUAAGGAAGUCUUUGCAACCAAGGAGACAUCAUGCUAGAGUUGAAAUCAGUAGAUAUCUUAGAUGUAAAAGUAAAAGGAAUCAUAGUCUUGGAGAGCCCAGUUUCACAAGCAAUGCCAUUAAGCACGGCAAUCACAUAGGCAAAAUCAAUGACAUUAAGGUAAUCCGUACAUCUAAGUUUACAAGAAAAGGUAUAUCUAGAAGGAAUAGAGUUCUGCUGAGGCAGAGAAGGCAGAAUCUUAGUUGAGGGUUCUUAUGCGAACCACUUUGUCUCGCUGUAUGUUUUGUCAGGAUGAAAAACAAAAAAAUGGAAUAUAGGAGAAUCUGGAAUGUUAAGAAUUUAUUCUUGGGUUUGUAAAAUAUUGUAAAUAUCCAGUUGUAAGAUAUUGCAAAUAUUGUAAAAUA
This is an RNA transcript of Vigna radiata var. radiata (mung bean), 1352 nucleotides long. It is a transcript of the gene named protein HAPLESS 2-like, with no coding region annotated. Lineage: Eukaryota; Viridiplantae; Streptophyta; Magnoliopsida; Fabales; Fabaceae. The record is from RefSeq and is a predicted model, not a curated record. The transcript is spliced from 3 exons.